AGGUUAGAGAGUACCCGACAACAAUCAAAUCAUUUGAUGUGAAGAACCAUAUACAAAGAACACGUCUGCAAAAUUUUAGGUCAAUCAGAGUUGAAUCACCAUUUCGAUCGAAGUCAAAAGGUUGCAGCCAAAAGAAUUCUUAUAUUUUUUUUUCUCUUUGGGAGGUGGCGCUGCAUGCGUGUGUGCAGGUGAUCGGGAGGGAGAUAGCGAAAGAGAGGGCACUCUCUCAAAACCCUCACAUGGCCCAUUAAUGGUUGGGCCCUACAUGGGCUGAACCCAACAUGGACCAGGGAACAAGUGGCUUUUCUUAGCCU
This 314-nucleotide long non-coding RNA is filed under the name Elaeis guineensis (African oil palm). RNAcentral's name for it is "long non-coding RNA (EGUI_LNC005114)". The record is from RNAcentral. Lineage: Eukaryota; Viridiplantae; Streptophyta; Magnoliopsida; Arecales; Arecaceae.